Molecule: small RNA, 106 nt
Filed under: Arabidopsis thaliana (thale cress)
Lineage: Eukaryota; Viridiplantae; Streptophyta; Magnoliopsida; Brassicales; Brassicaceae
Description: ATSL169270
Source: RNAcentral
AAUAAAAUAGAGUUUUUGUGGAACACACAGAACUGAGAUUUGAUUAUUGAUUAAACCAAAAAUACCGUGCGUAACAUGGAUAGUGAUCUAGUUGAAAACUAUAAUC